AGAUCACAAACUGCAGGUAGUAAAAUAUGCAGCCAAAAAUGGUAAUUGAGCCGCAGAAAGAAAGUUUGGAGUGAGUCAGAAACUUGUGAGGGACUGGUGAAAAGGUUACUCUUACUGCAAUGAAGAAAACAAAGCAAGCUAAUCGCGGGCUGAGAGCAGGAUGGCCAGAGCUGGAGGAACGGGUCCAAAGAUGGAGGGGCUGGUCAACUCUG
This is a long non-coding RNA of Etheostoma spectabile (orangethroat darter), 212 nucleotides long. RefSeq lists it as uncharacterized. The transcript is spliced from 3 exons. NCBI's taxonomy places the organism in Eukaryota, Metazoa, Chordata, Actinopteri, Perciformes, Percidae. The record is from RefSeq and is a predicted model, not a curated record.